AUUAAAGGUUAGCAAAUAUGAUCAAACAUCGAUCAAAUUCAAUCAAAAUUUCAAAGAAAUUAUAUAAGAAAUACAAAGUAUUCCUAGACACCCUUUAAAGAAUUAUAAAGAAAUAACAUAGAAAUUCAAAAAUAUACUAAAAUAAAAAUCUUAAUUAAAUCUAAGUCAAAACCUAAGAAAACUCUAAUCAAACCUUAAUAAAAUCCUAACCAAAUCCUAAAUAAAUCCUAGUAAAAUCCUAAAAAAUCCUAAAUAAAUCUUAACCAAAUCCUAAUCAAAUCCUAACCAAAUCCUAAACAAAUCCUAAUCAAAUCCUAAAUAAACCCUAACCAAACCAUAAUCAAAUCCUAAACAAUUCCUAACCAAACUCUAAAUAAAUCCUAAUCAAAUCCUAUACAAACCUUAACCAAAUACUAAUCAA
This 421-nucleotide long non-coding RNA is filed under the name Physcomitrium patens. RNAcentral's name for it is "long non-coding RNA (PPAT_LNC005197)". The record is from RNAcentral. Lineage: Eukaryota; Viridiplantae; Streptophyta; Bryopsida; Funariales; Funariaceae.